UACAGAGUAGAUAUUUGUGCGUUAAGUGUUAAAAGAACGGGAAGUUGUCUUUUAAACGAAAAAUUCUUUGAAUUUGCGGUACAAAUAUUGCAUUCCGCUGUU
Clostridium saccharobutylicum DSM 13864 is the source of this 102-nucleotide regulatory RNA element. It matches the Rfam family "THF (Tetrahydrofolate) riboswitch aptamer". Rfam says of the family: THF riboswitch presents a pseudoknot that joins P1-P2 and the loop of P3 and two THF binding. The record is from Rfam. Lineage: Bacteria; Bacillati; Bacillota; Clostridia; Eubacteriales; Clostridiaceae.